This 588-nucleotide long non-coding RNA is filed under the name Homo sapiens (human). Its description in RNAcentral is "HSALNT0319570". Lineage: Eukaryota; Metazoa; Chordata; Mammalia; Primates; Hominidae. The record is from RNAcentral.
UUUCCUUCCUCUCUUCCUCCUCCUGGCUCCCAACUUGUUUCUUCUUUCUUAUGUGCCAGUUGCUGUGCUGAGGAUAUGAAGCUAAAUAAGCCUCUCUCCUUUUCCUCAUGAAGCUCAAAAGCUUAGAUAGGAAGCAAAUAAAUAUAAUAUAGCAUGAUAAUUGCAAGAAUAUUAACAUGUCCAAAAGUUAAAGAGAGAAAGCAUAAAGAAGAAAGUGAUGAGCUCUGAGGGGUUGAGGCUUUUGCUCUCUCUUAAAUUGAUUGCUAUUUAGCACCCAUCAAAAGCUCUGCAGAGGGGACCAUCAUUAACGGCAUUUACGAAGACAUCCACUUAUUCCAACAGCAGGAGGAAGACCAACGCUUCUUAUCAUAAACACAAGUUCCUGCUAUACACAACACAUCCUUGAAUUCUAGGGAAGCCAAGAUGUACAUGAAAUGACUGCAGGUCUUAAAGGUCUUGAAUCUAAUUGUGGCACUGGGGCAUAUGUAGAGAUAAAUAUCACGUAGCAUAUGCUAAGGUGAUUUCGAAGAUCUAUUCUAUCUUAAGACACUGUAAGUCUAAUUAUUAAAUGAGCAAUACAGACAUUUA